Molecule: long non-coding RNA, 807 nt
Filed under: Solanum tuberosum (potato)
Lineage: Eukaryota; Viridiplantae; Streptophyta; Magnoliopsida; Solanales; Solanaceae
Description: long non-coding RNA (STUB_LNC007450)
Source: RNAcentral
CUAGUUAUUCUUUCAGUCGCAUAUAAAAUUGUACCCAUAAAGUUCAGCAACAAAUCCUCAAUUUACCAUGAAACUCAAACUGACUCAUCUACCAUGCCAAAUUGUUAGGUCAUGGACAUGGAUCUCCAUCAAUAAAAAUUGUUAGAAUGUCCAAUUCUAUCUUCCCCUAUUCCACUCUUAUGCUUAAAAAGACUCAUUCAUCAAUCAAUACAUUAACAAUAAAGUGUUCCACAGUAAUUACCACUUUCAAAUAAGCAGACUAUGUACUCCAAAAAUGGUUGUUAUUAACAGGAAAAAGAUGUAAUUUCCAGGUUAUGCUACCAAUCAACUAUUCCGUCAGCCCUAUUCAGGUUCAAAAUUAAGUUUGAUGUACAUGUUCCCUGCAUUGCAUCUUUUCAAUUUCUUUCCUUUCCUUUCUUCUCCAAGUACCUGUAAAGUCCUAUUUAUGAAAAAUUAACAAAUUGAGAAAACACUCACAUCAAGAACAAAAGCGGAAGAAACACUACAUUUCAAUAAUCAAAAGCACAAAAAAUUGAAAUACAAAGCUAUAAAUAGGGACACGGAGAAGAAGAGGAGUAAACGACAAUAACAACAACAUCCAAUCAAGUUUAGAUUCAGUUCAUGCAACAUUACCAUGACCUAAACACCAAAAUUGAUAAAUAAAAAAAGUCAAAACUCAUCGAAUGAAAAAAUCGACAAAACGGAUCUAAAAUCAAAAGGCAAAACAAAAAUGAGAAGAAAGAAGGAAGGGAAGAAGCACUGAGAAUUUCAUAUGAGGGCUUGCAAAAUCCUUCCAUUUUGCAGAGC